AGAGUUUGAUCCUGGCUCAGAACGAACGCUGGCGGCGUGGAUAAGACAUGCAAGUCGAACGGGACUUGUUUCGUAGCAAUACGAGGCAAGUUCAGUGGCGUAAGGGUGCGUAACACGUGGGGAAUCUGCCGAGAAGUGGGGGAUAGCUCGCCGAAAGGCGAAUUAAUACCGCAUGUGGCUACUGAAGACAUCUUCAGGACGCCAAAGCCGGGGCAACCUGGCGCUUCUUGAUGACCCCGCGGCCUAUCAGCUAGUUGGUGAGGUAACGGCUCACCAAGGCGAUGACGGGUAGCUGGUCUGAGAGGACGACCAGCCACACUGGAACUGAGACACGGUCCAGACACCUACGGGUGGCAGCAGUCGAGAAUUUUUCUCAAUGGGGGAAACCCUGAAGGAGCGACGCCGCGUGGAGGAUGAAGGUCUUCGGAUUGUAAACUCCUGUCAUUGGGGAACAAUUGUCACACGUUAACUGCGUGGGGCUUGAUAGUACCCGAAGAGGAAGAGACGGCUAACUCUGUGCCAGCAGCCGCGGUAAUACAGAGGUCUCAAGCGUUGUUCGGAUUCAUUGGGCGUAAAGGGUGCGUAGGCGGCGGGGUAAGUCGGAUGUGAAAUCCCGGAGCUCAACUCCGGAACUGCAUUCGAUACUGCUCUGCUUGAGGACUGGAGAGGAGAUCGGAAUUCACGGUGUAGCAGUGAAAUGCGUAGAUAUCGUGAGGAAGACCAGUGGCGAAGGCGGAUCUCUGGACAGUUCCUGACGCUGAGGCACGAAGGCCAGGGGAGCAAACGGGAUUAGAUACCCCAGUAGUCC
This 808-nucleotide ribosomal RNA is filed under the name uncultured bacterium. RNAcentral's name for it is "bacterial SSU rRNA". It matches the Rfam family "Bacterial small subunit ribosomal RNA", at positions 8 to 796 of the family's 1533-position model. The record is from RNAcentral.